UAUUCUCUCUGCCGUAGCUAACGCAUUAAGUGCCCCGCCUGGGGAGUACGGCCGCAAGGCUAAAACUCAAAAGAAUUGACGCUGGCUCGCACAAGCGUGGAGCAUGUGGCUUAAUUCGAUGCAACGCGAAAAACCUUACCGGGGCUUGACAUGGUAGAGUAGGAACCCGAAAGGGUAACGAACGGUAUCCAGUCCGUAGCUAUUACAGGUGUUGCAUGGCUGUCGUCAGCUCGUGUCGUGAGACGUUGGGUUAAGUCCCCUAA
RNAcentral lists this ribosomal RNA (263 nucleotides) under uncultured bacterium. RNAcentral's name for it is "partial 16S ribosomal RNA". It matches the Rfam family "Bacterial small subunit ribosomal RNA", at positions 835 to 1092 of the family's 1533-position model. The record is from RNAcentral.